AUGCUAGAGUCAACACGAGGUCAGAAGUUUUGCGAGAAGGAAACUAUCCAGACGUUGGCAACAUUAUUUGAUAGCUGGCCUGGGAUGGACAACGACAUCUCAUCGUGCAACAAGGUAAGUAAAGUAUUUUGUCCAUUGUUAUCAUGGUUUAUUGUUGUUUCUAAUAGCUCCACUUGUAGAUUUAUCUUCCCUAUGCAUCCAUCGGCCGAUACAUCUUGUACGUCAUCGAGAAAGAGGAAUGUGUCUGGCUAUUUUGUUUUUCAUUUUAUGCUCUGGUGGAACGGUAAAGAAUUGGUCAAGCCGAUUUGCACGGAUGGGUAUGAAUUGAGGAAGCAGUUUUUAUUACACUUGCUAAAACAUUGUGGGAAUGAAGCUAAAGGAAACUUUUCUGAUAUUGUGAAAGAAUUACUUAAGCGCAUCAUCUAG
This 426-nucleotide ribosomal RNA is filed under the name Triticum aestivum (bread wheat). Its description in RNAcentral is "partial small subunit ribosomal RNA". Lineage: Eukaryota; Viridiplantae; Streptophyta; Magnoliopsida; Poales; Poaceae. The record is from RNAcentral.